CGUGAAAUUGUUGAAAGGGAAGCGCUCAUGACCAGACUUGGGCUUGGUUGAUCAUCCAGGGUUCUCCCUGGUGCACUCUUCCAGCACAGGCCAGCAUCUGUUCGCUGUGGGGGAUAAAGGCUUUGGGAAUGUGGCUCCUCCGGGAGUGUUAUAGCCCAUUGUGUAAUUCCCUGUGGUGGACUGAGGUUCGCGCAUCUGCAAGGAUGCUGGCGUAAUGGUCAUCAG
Molecule: ribosomal RNA, 225 nt
Filed under: Ilyonectria destructans
Lineage: Eukaryota; Fungi; Ascomycota; Sordariomycetes; Hypocreales; Nectriaceae
Description: partial large subunit ribosomal RNA
Source: RNAcentral